GACGAACGCUGGCGGCGUGCUUAACACAUGCAAGUCGAACGGAAAGGCCCUGCUUUUGUGGGGUGCUCGAGUGGCGAACGGGUGAGUAACACGUGAGUAACCUGCCCUUGACUUUGGGAUAACUUCAGGAAACUGGGGCUAAUACCGGAUAGGAGCUCCUGCUGCAUGGUGGGGGUUGGAAAGUUUCGGCGGUUGGGGAUGGACUCGCGGCUUAUCAGCUUGUUGGUGGGGUAGUGGCUUACCAAGGCUUUGACGGGUAGCCGGCCUGAGAGGGUGACCGGCAACAUGGGGGCGGAGUAGCGCAGGAGAGUGCGAGAGGGGGAAGCGGGGGUGAGUGAGGCAGAGGGGGCGGAGGCUGGAGGCAGCAGCUGCGGGUGGGGGAUGGAGGCUUUCGGGUUGAGACACGCUGUGGCGUGGGGUGAGGAGUGAGUGAUGGUGAUGGAGAAAGAAGCACCGGCACACCGAGUGACAGCAGGCGGGGUAAUAGGGGGAGGAGAACCCGACUGAAC
RNAcentral lists this ribosomal RNA (509 nucleotides) under uncultured bacterium. RNAcentral's name for it is "partial 16S ribosomal RNA". The stretch from base 21 to 331 matches the Rfam family "Bacterial small subunit ribosomal RNA", at positions 48 to 357 of the family's 1533-position model. The record is from RNAcentral.